This 253-nucleotide ribosomal RNA is filed under the name uncultured bacterium. Its description in RNAcentral is "partial 16S ribosomal RNA". It matches the Rfam family "Bacterial small subunit ribosomal RNA", at positions 524 to 776 of the family's 1533-position model. The record is from RNAcentral.
UACGUAGGGUGCGAGCGUUGUCCGGAAUUACUGGGCGUAAAGAGCUCGUAGGCGGCUUGUCGCGUUGUUCGUGAAAAUUUACCGCUCAACGGUGAACUUGCGGGCGAUACGGGCAGGCUAGAGUACUGCAGGGGAGACUGGAAUUCCUGGUGUAGCGGUGAAAUGCGCAGAUAUCAGGAGGAACACCGGUGGCGAAGGCGGGUCUCUGGGCAGUAACUGACGCUGAGGAGCGAGAGCGUGGGGAGCGAACAGG